This is a non-coding RNA of Danio rerio (zebrafish), 116 nucleotides long. NCBI's taxonomy places the organism in Eukaryota, Metazoa, Chordata, Actinopteri, Cypriniformes, Danionidae. The record is from Rfam.
CAACCUAUCUAUAUCCCACUGCAGUCCAAGACAGGUUAAUCGCUGAAGCUAAGCAGGGCUGGGCCUGGUCAGUACCUGGAUGGGAGACCACAUGGGAAAGCUAGGUUGCAGUUGGA